RNAcentral lists this microRNA (25 nucleotides) under Caenorhabditis elegans. RNAcentral's name for it is "cel-miR-8190-5p". Lineage: Eukaryota; Metazoa; Nematoda; Chromadorea; Rhabditida; Rhabditidae. The record is from miRBase by way of RNAcentral.
CGGGAAAUCGCUUUGGAAUCCAGGA